AGUGAACGCUGGCGGUAGGCCUAACACAUGCAAGUCGAACGGCAGCACAGUAAGAGCUUGCUCUUACGGGUGGCGAGUGGCGGACGGGUGAGAAAUACAUCGGAAUCUACUUUUUCGUGGGGGAUAACGUAGGGAAACUUACGCUAAUACCGCAUACGACCUACGGGUGAAAGCAGGGGAUCUUCGGACCUUGCGCGAUUGAAUGAGCCGAUGUCGGAUUAGCUAGUUGGCGGGGUAAAGGCCCACCAAGGCGACGAUCCGUAGCUGGUCUGAGAGGAUGAUCAGCCACACUGGAACUGAGACGCGGUCCAGACUCCUACGGGAGGCAGCAGUGGGGAAUAUUGGACAAUGGGCGCAAGCCUGAUCCAGCCAUACCGCGUGGGUGAAGAAGGCCUUCGGGUUGUAAAGCCCUUUUGUUGGGAAAGAAAAGCAGCAGGUUAAUACCCCGCUGUUCUGACGGUACCCAAAGAAUAAGCACCGGCUAACUUCGU
This 491-nucleotide ribosomal RNA is filed under the name uncultured bacterium. RNAcentral describes it as "partial 16S ribosomal RNA". It matches the Rfam family "Bacterial small subunit ribosomal RNA", at positions 29 to 506 of the family's 1533-position model. The record is from RNAcentral.